UUUCGGGUCGUAAAACUCUGUUGUUAGGGAAGAACAAGUGCUAGUUGAAUAAGCUGGCACCUUGACGGUACCUAACCAGAAAGCCACGGCUAACUACGUGCCAGCAGCCGCGGUAAUACGUAGGUGGCAAGCGUUAUCCGGAAUUAUUGGGCGUAAAGCGCGCGCAGGUGGUUUCUUAAGUCUGAUGUGAAAGCCCACGGCUCAACCGUGGAGGGUCAUUGGAAACUGGGAGACUUGAGUGCAGAAGAGGAAAGUGGAAUUCCAUGUGUAGCGGUGAAAUGCGUAGAGAUAUGGAGGAACACCAGUGGCGAAGGCGACUUUCUGGUCUGUAACUGACACUGAGGCGCGAAAGCGUGGGGAGCAAACAGGAUUAGAUACCCCGGUAGU
This 387-nucleotide ribosomal RNA is filed under the name bacterium. Its description in RNAcentral is "bacterial SSU rRNA". It matches the Rfam family "Bacterial small subunit ribosomal RNA", at positions 416 to 794 of the family's 1533-position model. The record is from RNAcentral.